CAUGUAUUUGUGCAGUCAGCUUGUCCAUGUUUACGCUGUCAGUUAUUUUAGUGUGUAUCUGCAGUUGGGUUGGGAUGCGCGGUGUGGACCAUGUUUCCACUAUUGCCCUUCGGGUGGCCAGGGCUAUUCUGGCAAUGAGUUUGUUUUCGUUAUGAGUGAAGAUGUCGAUGGGUUUGGAGAUGAGAAAGGCCCAAGGGUCUAAAGGUACUGGUUUGUUAAGUAAUCUGGUUAAGAGUGUGGUCAGCGUUGUCCAUAUGGGGGCGACUUUGGGGCAGGUCCACCAGCAGUGGAGAAACGUGCCAGCCUCGCCGCACAGUUUCCAACAUAAGUUGGUGGGAAGUUGUUGCAUUGCCUUUAGGCGGAAGGGGGUAAGGUACCACCUGAAAAGCAUUUUGUAGGCCUGUUCCUUAUGGGUUACACAGGUGGAGAUGGAUUUGAUGGCUGUCCAAAUGUCUGCCCAGUCAGUGGGGGGCCCCAAGUCACUCUCCCAUGCUGCGAUGUAUGGGAGUGCUAUUUGGGUGUGAUGUGUGGUUAGGGAUGUGUAGAGGCUUGAUAUUUGGCUCUUUCUGGCCGGUGAGUUGAUGGUGUCCCUCUCAAACCCUGUCAGGGCCGAGGUGGCUGCCAAGCGAACCGUGUCUGAUGCUGCAAAACUACGGAGUUGGAGAUAUCGAAAGUAGUCAUGGGUGGUUAAGGAUUCCGGAUUAGGAACCUCUGCGUAUUGGAGGAGUUUACCAUUGGGGUAAAGGUGUCCUAGUCUAACUAUGUCUCUGUCUUCGAAGUGAGCGUAGUGCCUGGGAG
Non-coding RNA from Pelobates cultripes (western spadefoot toad), 798 nucleotides. NCBI's taxonomy places the organism in Eukaryota, Metazoa, Chordata, Amphibia, Anura, Pelobatidae. The record is from the annotation of a GenBank genome assembly.